Etheostoma cragini (Arkansas darter) is the source of this 582-nucleotide long non-coding RNA. RefSeq lists it as uncharacterized. The record is from RefSeq and is a predicted model, not a curated record. The transcript is spliced from 4 exons. Lineage: Eukaryota; Metazoa; Chordata; Actinopteri; Perciformes; Percidae.
GGCAGCACCUAAUCACAGGUGGCCAGAGCAGCCGUUGAUGAUUUCAAAUUUGCCAACGUUUCGUUUUUAAUGUUAGCUGAAUUUGUCAGGUCAACAACAUGAAACCAGAGAUUGAAGUUAACACCUAAACACCAACUGAUUGUUUCCUAUAAUUGUUUCAGGAUACUCUUCAACGGGAGACGAUCCUUGAGGGCGCGGCCUCUCGCUCUCUGUGAACUGAGAUGGCUCGUCACAUGUCUGCGUGGACAUAAGCCUCUGCUUCAAACACACAGCGGGAGGGCAACAGGAGAAGAGCAGAGCUGCCUGGCAUCGUCGAUGAUGACAUCUUCAAACACUACCCCGCACUCUGCAGACACGCCCAACGCUCACUGCAGGUCGGUGACACAACUCAGCAUCAGCACCAGCUGCCUCAUGCUCACUCCCUGUCGCCCAUCGUCACCAAAACACACACAAACAUAAUCUCUUACACGCACUACUGAACUGUGCUGCUGAAUCAGGGAAAGUUUCUCAGGGGAAAACGGAGAAAGGGGAAAGAGAACAGAAAGAGUAGAGAGAACAGAGAGAGCGAUGCUCACCCGUCCC